GACGAACGCUGGCGGCGUGCUUAACACAUGCAAGUCGAACGGAAAGGCCCUGCUUUUGUGGGGUGCUCGAGUGGCGAACGGGUGAGUAACACGUGAGUAACCUGCCCUUGACUUUGGGAUAACUUCAGGAAACUGGGGCUAAUACCGGAUAGGAGCUCCUGCUGCAUGGUGGGGGUUGGAAAGUUUCGGCGGUUGGGGAUGGACUCGCGGCUUAUCAGCUUGUUGGUGGGGUAGUGGCUUACCAAGGCUUUGACGGGUAGCCGGCCUGAGAGGGUGACCGGCCACAUUGGGACUGAGAUACGGCCCGGACUCCUACGGGGGCAGCAGUGGGGAAUAUUGCACAAUGGGCGGAAGCCUGAUGCAGCAACGCCGCGUGCGGGAUGACGGCCUUCGGGUUGUAAACCGCUUUCGCCUGUGACGAAGCGUGAGUGACGGUAAUGGGUAAAGAAGCACCGGCUAACUACGUG
This 467-nucleotide ribosomal RNA is filed under the name uncultured bacterium. RNAcentral's name for it is "partial 16S ribosomal RNA". It matches the Rfam family "Bacterial small subunit ribosomal RNA", at positions 28 to 507 of the family's 1533-position model. The record is from RNAcentral.